Molecule: unclassified non-coding RNA, 213 nt
Filed under: plant metagenome
Description: partial contains small subunit ribosomal RNA, internal transcribed spacer 1, and 5.8S ribosomal RNA
Source: RNAcentral
UAUCCGUAGGUGAACCUGCGGAAGGAUUAUUCAUAAUAAGUGUUUUAUGGCACUUUUUUAAAUCCAUAUCCACCUUGUGUGCAAUGUCAGGGUUGAUUUUUCUCUCGAGAGGAUCAACCCCAAACAUCAACUAUAUCUCAACUCUUUGUCUGAAAAAUAUUAUGAAUAAAACAAUUCAAAAUACAACUUUCAACAACGGAUCUCUUGGCUCUC